CACAGACAGCUAGGAGGUUGGCUUAGAAGCAGCCACCCUUUAAAGAAAGCGUAAUAGCUCACUAGUCGAGUCGGCCUGCGCGGAAGAUGUAACGGGGCUAAAUCUAGUACCGAAGCUGCGGAUCUCGUAAGAGAUGGUAGAGGAGCGUUCUGUAAGUCUGUGAAGGUGAAUCGUAAGGUUUGCUGGAGAUAUCAGAAGUGCGAAUGCUGACAUGAGUAACGAUAAGGGGGGUGAAAAACCCCCCCGCCGAAAGAUCAAGGUUUCCUGUCCAACGUUAAUCGGGACAGGGUGAGUCGGCACCUAAGGCGAGGGCGAAGGCCGUAGUCGAUGGAAAAUCGGUUAAAAUUCCGAUACCGAUUCUUACUGCGAUGGAGGGACGGAGCAGGCUAGGCUAGCACGGCGUUGGUAGUCCGUGUUUAAGCGUGUAGGUAGGGGGAUUAGGUAAAUCCGGUUCCCUGUUGAUCUGAGACGUGAUGACGAUCUCUUGGGGCGACCCUUGAGAGAAGUAGUUGAUGCCAUACUUCCAGGAAAAUCUUCUAAGCUUCAGGUAAGAAUUGACCGUACUGUAAACCGACACAGGUGAUCAGGUAGAGAAUACCAAGGCGCUUGAGAGAACUUGGGUGAAGGAACUAGGCAAAAUGGUACCGUAACUUCGGGAGAAGGUACGCUCUCUUUGGUGAUCGGACUUGCUCCGUAAGCUGAGGAGAGUCGAAGUGACCAGGUGGCUGCAACUGUUUAUUAAAAACAUAGCACUCUGCAAACUCGUGAGAGGAAGUAUAGGGUGUGACGCCUGCCCGGUGCCGGAAGGUUAAUUGAUGGGGUUAUCUUCGGAGAAGCUCUUGAUCGAAGCCCCGGUAAACGGCGGCCGUAACAAUAACGGUCCUAAGG
Molecule: ribosomal RNA, 888 nt
Filed under: Ctenophora environmental sample
Lineage: Eukaryota; Metazoa; Ctenophora
Description: partial Bacterial large subunit ribosomal RNA
Rfam family: Bacterial large subunit ribosomal RNA
Source: RNAcentral